GACUCUUGGUACCAGGAGUGGGUGGACUCCAGAAAGCAGGCGUUAGGACGGGAUUCUGGAGUUGGACCGCUCUCUGCCGGCUGUGGCCGUGAGGACACCUUCCCCCUUGGUAGGGGCGGCACCGCCCGCGGCACAAGAGAACAAACCGGAUGAAGUCGCCAGACUGUCGAGUGGAGACCAGGUCCCAAGAGUCCACUGUACUUUGGCCAGCAGGACUUGCUGUGACAAUCAGGUUCCAUCAUGUCAACAAGGAAUGUCAAAUAUGUGUUUUAGUUGAGAACCCAGGCUCAAGACUACAACACAGCCAUGAAAGCUGGAGCAGAACACAGCAGCCGGCCACCGUACAGAGAAAUCUUCAGCAAACCCAGGUUAAAACUUCAACAACAUUGUCUUCUGUUGACUGAAGAGGCAGCUCAAUAACAAUGGUCAUACCAACUUAUAUAUGCCAGCGAGGAGGAGAAAACAUAUGCUACAUGCUAUGGAAAUCUGUUACGUGUUUCAUUUGGAAUGCAGACAGGAUUGUAAAGGUACUGAAAAACACAUGUUCAGUAUGGAAAAUCAUGUUUGAUGUGUCCUAAUUUGAUUAUCAAGACAAGAAUUCCAAACUCAUAGUGUCUGUUAAAUUUACAUGUGCAGAUCUAAAAUAGUUUUUUUUUUUGUGGCAUAUUCUCACACAUAACCACUGAAUUCCUAGGGUACUGUCUCUAGCUCCUUUAUGCUGCUUGCUGCCCAGAAUAUUUCAUUAUUGAAUGAAUUAUUCAAGAUUUUAAAAAACUCACUGUAAUACAGCCAAGUACGUCUAUUUACAAUUGGAUAUAUUCUGAUAUGUAUUCUUUAGUUGGGUAUCAUAUACCUAACUAUCAGUACAAUAUUGUUCUUAGGGGACCUCAUUUUUACACACUUUGAGUUGACAGAUUGUAUCUCAGUAUGAGUUCCCAUGUUCCUUCAGCACCUUUGCAAGGUUUCUCCCUAUUGGAAGGGUUCUCACAGUACAACCUGGCUGCAGUCUCAGGGUUUAUCCCCGGUAUGAACCCUCUGAUGGACACUGAGUCGGGACUUCCUGCUGAAGGCCUUCCCACAUUCAGAACACUCAUAUGGUUUCUCUCCUGUGUGGAUUCGCAAAUGUAAUCUAAGAGUUGACCUCUGGCUGAAUGUUUUGCCGCAUUCAGUACAUUCAUAGGGUUUUUCUCCGGUAUGAGUUCUCAUAUGUAUAAUGAGUUGUGAGUUCUGG
Lagenorhynchus albirostris (white-beaked dolphin) is the source of this 1231-nucleotide long non-coding RNA. RefSeq lists it as uncharacterized. Lineage: Eukaryota; Metazoa; Chordata; Mammalia; Artiodactyla; Delphinidae. The transcript has 4 exons. The record is from RefSeq and is a predicted model, not a curated record.